UACAGAGGUCUCAAGCGUUGUUCGGAUUCAUUGGGCGUAAAGGGUGCGUAGGCGGCGCGGUAAGUCGGGUGUGAAAUCUCGGAGCUUAACUCCGAAACUGCAUUCGAUACUGCCGUGCUUGAGGACUGGAGAGGAGACUGGAAUUUACGGUGUAGCGGUGAAAUGCGUAGAUAUCGUAAAGAAGACCAGUGGCGAAGGCGGGUCUCUGGACAGUUCCUGACACUGAGGCACGAAGGCCAGGGGAGCAAACGGG
Molecule: ribosomal RNA, 253 nt
Filed under: uncultured bacterium
Lineage: Bacteria
Description: partial 16S ribosomal RNA
Rfam family: Bacterial small subunit ribosomal RNA
Source: RNAcentral